This 3020-nucleotide long non-coding RNA is filed under the name Lynx pardinus (Iberian lynx). Lineage: Eukaryota; Metazoa; Chordata; Mammalia; Carnivora; Felidae. The record is from RNAcentral.
GGUCAGAGGAAAAAGCUGAGCUGCAAUGCAGGCCCAACGGCAGCUUCAGUCACUCCACAGCGUUCUGAACCUAAAAGUUCAUUCUGAGUUGUCCCAAGACGGGCCAACAUUGAGAGUCUUGCACUGAACUGGCCUAAGAAUGUGCACAGUGGUUUCAAAUGGAACCGGAUCGGUUAUUGAACGCUGGCUGAAUCUGAAAGGGGUGAGGCUGAGGAGCUUCUGUGCAAGUCGUCAGUCCCUGAAGGGCUUGACAGCUGAAGACUGUCUGCUAACGACAUUCCAUAAUGAGGCAAGGAGUCCUUCAUGGAAGAGUCACGUGGGCAAUGCACAGCAGGUCUACCUCGCGCCGCAACAAUCGAAUCGUCUACCAUUACUGCCAACCAAAAGGACAUGAUUACUUUCUCUGACUGAAUUUCUGCAUGCAUACAUAAAAGCAAUUUGAAUAGAUAAAAAGCUGGACACUGUUUAUCAUGACCAACAAGCAUCAGGAUUGUUGUGUUCCUUUUGAGAAAAGGAGGCAGGUCUGAGACGGAGGGCAAAGGUCAAGGAAAAGUUAUCGGUAAUGUUAAUGUUUUUAAACAGAGAAAAUGAAUUGACACAUUAGUUCUGUGAUGAGGAUUUAAUAAAAUGGCAUUUGAGAUGCAUUUCUUGUACAAAUAUAGUGAGCAAAACAAUAUUCUAUAGGAGUAGGACUUUCCAUUUCUAAAGCGUUGGAUUAAAAUAGCUCUAAUUUAUUCAAGGAUUGAUGGACUUUCCUUCUCUCUUCUUCCUCCCACAGGUUUAUGGCCAUUUCAUUGCUCACUGUAUCUCCAUCAGAGGGUGACUGGGGUUGGGGGGCCUGGGUGUGGGGAGGAGAGGAAGGAAACUAGAAUCAGCAAUUUCCAUUACUUGCUAGCAACUCUGGUGAAUAUGUUUAGUGGGGGAAAUGCUGAAAAUCAGUUAUUUGGAUUAUCUGAGCCUGUCAACCAUCCAUGUUACACCCUCUUCCCAUUAGCAGAGACUCAUGAGAAUUGGCCAUAAUUGCAUUUGCAGUGACGGCAAUUGAAACAAGAUUGUUUUCAAUGACUGUGUGGUUCUGACUGAACUAUUAUUUUUUUUUCUCUUUCAAACAGCGUGUAUCCUAACAAGGCAUUUUGAGGAAAGAGACAGAGCCCACUGUAUUCUCACCUGUUACUUAUCUACCAGUCUUUCAGGAAAAGAUAGUUAAUGUAGACAGAACAAGACAAUUUUGUUUUAAUCUGGUAAUAGAAUAGCUUAUUAGGGAUGCCUAGUAGCAGAAAGGCAUAAUAUAAUCAGUAAAAGGACAUGAAGGUCACCUGGGUGGCUUGAUCGGUUAAGUGUCCCACUCUUGAUUUUGGCUCAAGGCAUGAAUCCGAUUCGAGCUCCGUGUCGGGCACAGUGAUGAUAGUCCGGAGCCUGCUUGGGGUUCUCUCUCUCUCCCUCUCUCUGCCCCUCCCCUGCUCUCUCUCAAUAAAUAAACAAACAAACAAGCAAACACACAAACACACACACACACACAUGGUGAGUGAGAAAGAGAGAGAGAGACAGAGCAGGGAAGGGACAGAGAGAGAAGGAGAGUGAGAGAAUCCCAACCAGGGUCUGCACUGUCAGCACAGGGCCUGUACUGUCAGCACAGGGCCUGUCUCAGGACUCCCAACUCGCCAACCGUGAAAUCAUGACCUGAGCCAAAAUCAAGAGUCAGAAGCUUAACCAAGUGAGUCACCCAAGCGCCCUUCAAUAAAUAUUUUGAAUAAAUAGUUGUUGAAUUCAAAAUAAUUGAAUAUUUUCAUAAUGCCAGUGUUAUAACUCUAUCUUUAAAAUCUCUGUGUUGUGACUGUUCAUACACUGGGUUUUAACCAAGUCACUGCCAAGAUGAAUGGUUUUCUCUUGGAAUUACAAUGCUGUGUCGGAAAAACCUUAGAAUAAAAUUCAAAAGAGUAUGGUUCUGAGUCAGACCACCACUUAUUUCAUUUAGUGAUUUUUGAGACAAAUCCCACAGACUCUGUGUCAGUUCAGCUAUCAAGUGAAUAUACAAGGACAAAUCCUAUGCUUAAUGUUUUAUACAUAUUUUUGUAUUCAUGAUUUUACCUUGACACUGAUGUUAACAAGCUAUUGAAGGGUUUCAUUGGUAUCAAACACAACUGAAUCUUGACCUAACUAUAGAUUGACUGACGUUAAGUAAGCUAAAUGGUCUCCUCAAGAUUCUAUGCCUACGUCUUCAUUUUAAAAUGAGUUCAUAUACUUAUAGUUCAUUUCUCAUCAGAUUGCUGUGAAGUCAAAAGUGAAAAAGCAUGUAAAGUGCCUUGCACAAAGCCUUCAUAUAAAAGGGAGUUAUCUUCAAGUCUCAGCUAUCCCUUUAACAAGGCUCACUCUGCUUUUCUCUUUUUUCCAAGGAAAAACACACGUUGUAAAAUAAGCAUUCUUCAAAGACAACCUGAAGACGUCUGGGAAUUCCAAAGGCUGAAAAUUCCAUGAGUUCAUAGAAGCUUUCACUAAUUCCACAGAUUUAAAGACAAAAGAGAGAGAGUCAACUGUGUGCCCAAACUCAUUUCUGAUGAUUUCUUCCAUCCUACCCUUUCUGCCUCUCUGGGGGUGGCUGUGCCUGUAAAAAACAUUGAAGUUGUCAGGAACAGAGUCUGCUUUCAAGACUGGAAUGUCAGAGUAGAGACUUCUGUUCCUCAGACCAGAAGAGACUUGAUUUGGUAAGAGUUUCCAGGUCUGAAAGGAGACAGAGCUGGGACAUGGGAACUGAUACAGAUAAACAGCACAAACACCUUGAGAGAGUGAUAUAUCAAGAGAGACUAGAAUAGGACAAGAACAAGAUCAUGACACAAGAUGAGAUAAGAAACCAGAAGACCCUGUCUAAAAGCUCUAAUGUGUGUUGCAACCAGAGGUUGACCAUAUCCCACGAAAUUCCACGUUACAUAAUUGCAAUGGGUAAUGGGCGCUUCCUUGUAAAAAGGAGAGAUUUGUUUUCCCUUUUAUGGCUAAAGUAAAAAGCAUGAGAAGUAGCCCCAUUA